GGGGUGCAGCAGGCGCGAAAACUUUGCAAUGCGGGAAACCGUGACAAGGGAACUCUGAGUGCCCGUUAAAUCGGGCUGUCCACCGGUUUAAAUAACCGGUGAAGAAAGGGCCGGGCAAGACCGGUGCCAGCCGCCGCGGUAAUACCGGCGGCUCGAGUGGUGGCCACUAUUACUGGGCUUAAAGCGUUCGUAGCUGGUUUGUUAAGUCUCUGGGGAAAUCUUCCGGCUUAACCGGAAGGCGUCUCAGGGAUACUGGCAGACUAGGGACCGGGAGAGGUGAGAGGUACUCCAGGGGUAGGAGUGAAAUCCUGUAAUCCUUGGGGGACCACCUGUGGCGAAGGCGUCUCACCAGAACGGCUCCGACAGUGAGGGACGAAAGCUGGGGGAGCAAACCGGAUUAGAUACCCGGGUAGUCCCAGCUGUAAACGAUGCGCGUUAGGUGUAUCAGUGACCACGAGUCACUGAGGUGCCGAAGAGAAAUCGUGAAACGUGCCGCCUGGGAAGUACGGUCGCAAGGCUGAAACUUAAAGGAAUUGGCGGGGGAGCACAAGGGCGAUUCGCG
This 562-nucleotide ribosomal RNA is filed under the name uncultured archaeon. RNAcentral's name for it is "bacterial SSU rRNA". It matches the Rfam family "Archaeal small subunit ribosomal RNA", at positions 327 to 897 of the family's 1478-position model. The record is from RNAcentral.